Aphanomyces invadans is the source of this 82-nucleotide non-coding RNA. The record is from the annotation of a RefSeq genome assembly. Lineage: Eukaryota; Oomycota; Saprolegniomycetes; Saprolegniales; Verrucalvaceae.
UUGUGCGCGGCCGAGUGGUUAAAGGCGACGGCGCUCAAGAGCAGAGGAAGGGGCCCGGGUUCAAGUCCCGGGCACGCACAAA